CAGAUUAGCAACUAAGGUCCCUAAUACAUAGUUAAGUUGAUCAAACGAGGUGGGAUUUCUAUAACAGCCAGGAUGUUGGCUUGGAAGCAGCCACUCAUUUAAAGAGUGCGUAACAGCUCACUGGUCGAGAGAUCCUGCACGGAAAAUAAUCGGGCAUCAAACCAUGAACCGAAGUUCUAAGAUUGCUACUACGUAGUAUAUCGGUAGGGGAGCAUUGAAAUCAGCUGUGAAGGUGUGUGGCGAUGCAUGCUGGAGCGAUUUCAAAAGAAAAUGUAGGCAUAAGUAACGAUAAUUAAAGUGAAAAACUUUAACGCCGUAAACCCAAGGUUUCCUGAUCAAUGUUAAUCAGAUCAGGGUUAGUCGGGUCCUUAGGCAAACCCGAAAGGGGCAGCUGAUGGCAAGUCGGUUAAUAUUCCGACACCUGCUUAUACUUCGAUGGGGUGACGAGGUAGUGAAAGAUCCGCGUUCUUACGGAAUAGAACGUUAAAGGGUGUAGAUAUUAGUUGUGUAGGCAAAUCCGCACGAUUAGUCGAACCUGAUAGUACAGCAAAGCUUCGGCCGCGCUGAUAGUGAUCCUAAUCAAACCUCCGAGAAAAACCUCUAAGUUAUGGUAUAAGCAGCCCGUACCGCAAACCGACACAGGUGGGUGGGAUGAAUAUUCUAAGGCGCUCGGGUGAGCCGUGGAGAAGGAACUAGGCAAAUUAACGCUGUAACUUCGGGAUAAAGCGUACCAUAGAGAUAUGGUCACAGUAAAAUGAUUCAACCAACUGUUUAACAAAAACACAGGGCCCUGCAAAAUCGAAAGAUGACGUAUAGAGCCUGAAACCUGCCCGGUGCUGGAAGGUUAAGGAAGGGUGUUCGGCGUAAGCCAAAGCUCCUGACUGAAGCCCCAGUAAACGGCGGCCGUAACUAUAACGGUCCUAAGGUAGCGAAAUUCCUUGUCGGGUAAGUUCCGACCUGCACGAAUGGUCUAAUGAGUUGAACACUGUCUCCUCCACGAGCCCGGUGAAAUUGUAGUAUCGGUGAAGAUGCCGGUUACCCGUCACGGGACGGAAAGACCCCAUGAACCUUCACUACAACUUUGCAUUGAUUUUGAAUUUUUGAUGUGUAGGAUAGUUGGGAGACUUUGAAGCUGUGUCGCUAGGCAUGGUGGAGUCGUCGUUGAAAUACCAACCUUUAAACAUUUAGAAUCUAAUCCCUAACGGGAAACAGUGCAUGGUGGGUAGUUUGACUGGGGUGGUCGCCUCCUAAAAAGUAACGGAGGCUUGCAAAGGUUCCCUCAGUACGGUUGGUAAUCGUACAUAGAGCGUAUUAGUAUAAGGGAGCUUGACUGUGAGACUUACAAGUCGAGCAGGGACGAAAGUCGGCUAAAGUGAUCCGGCGGUUCUGUAUGGAAGGGCCGUCGCUCAAAGGAUAAAAGGUACUCUGGGGAUAACAGGCUGAUCUCCCCCAAGAGCUCAUAUCGACGGGGAGGUUUGGCAC
This 1482-nucleotide ribosomal RNA is filed under the name activated sludge metagenome. RNAcentral's name for it is "bacterial LSU rRNA". It matches the Rfam family "Bacterial large subunit ribosomal RNA", at positions 1028 to 2524 of the family's 2925-position model. The record is from RNAcentral.